AAUCCACAUAAAACAUUAUAUAAUAUAAAAAUAGUACGGUUGGCUACCGUAUAGCGCCUAAACGCCGCCUAAACAGUAAUCUCUCUGUUCCUUAAUAUUACAUAUUCUAGAAAAAAAAUUGUUUUAAAAAGAUCUAUUUUGUAUAUUUUCAAGACAUGUUUUAUUAACUAAUUACAAAUUUCAAAAAACUUAAUUGCACUUAUUGAAUUUUUAUUGGCUUAAAAUUAUAGAACAAAGAUAAACACAAAAAAUUAUGCAAAUUUAUUGUGUUUUAUUAAAAUGUAUAAAAAAACUAAAAAUAUGUAACAUUAAGAAACAGAGGGAGUAUUUUAGAACACUGAUUCUAACGUACCAUAAUUAUUGAAAUGCCAAGUGAGUAAGUGACGGAUAUUUGUUAUGAUUGGAUGCGCCAACUAUAGUUCAAUUGGUUAGAAUGUUUCCUAUCAUAGAGUUUUAAUUUAACGUCUGUUUAUUCGCCAAAAAGCAAGGUCAGCAUUCUCCAAGAACCACAUCUAUUCACUUCAGGCUAUUGGAUUGGUAUGAAUGAUAAUUAUUAUUGAUAAUGGAACUCUGUUUAUAUACAGAGUGAUGAACAGGUCUAGAAUCUACAGAAGUUAAUGACAAUAUACAAACGUUAAUGAAGACGAUGAUUUAGGGACUUGGUCAAUCCACAUAAUCUGCCUUCCGUAUUCUAUAUCACAGGCAUCAUGGAACCUUGAGCCUGCGGUCUACGAUAAGGUCUCAGCCGGCUGCUUUGGUCUGGAUAAACAUAAUGCCAAGAAGAAGGAGAACAAAACCGAAGAGAAAACUGGAUGCAAGUGGUUGAACAAUGUCGACCUCUUCUCAAAGUGCAGUCUAAUGAUUCAACUUGCCUAAUUACUCUAUUCUUUGUUGUAUUAGUAGACUAUGAAAACAAAAGUAUGGUUUACAUGAUUAAGUAACUAAUGUAGUAAACACAACAAUGUCAUGACCUUCCCACCCACCUAUGCUUACUGCUAUAAACCUAGACUGAAUUUUGGAAAAAAUAGAGAAAACAAAGGCAAAGAGAUGACAACGUUUCAUCGGCAAAGAUGGCUCUCCAGCUUGAUCAUGUUCUUGCUGUCGUCAUUCAUGCUAAAAUCCGAAGGAUCAAACCAUAUAGUUGGCGACAGCUCUGGUUGGGAACUUUACACAAACUAUACCAACCGGACACAGGGAAGAGAGUUUCAUGUCGGCGAUGUCUUAGUUCUCAACUACAAUAGAGACCAGCAUAAUGUUAUGCAAGUUAAUUCUACAGCCUACGUAUACUGUGGAAGAGACAAUUACAUAUCUCUCUUCAACAAAGGCAAUGACUCAAUAGUUAUAUCAGAGGUUGGUGAGCACUGGUUCAUCUGUGCAGUAGACGGCCACUGUGAGAAUGGUCAGAAGCUAUUAAUCAAAAUUUUAGUAGCUUGUUGUUAUAGUACUAAAGUAAUGUAACUAAACUUGAAUUAAUACUCUCAUUAACUCUUGAUAAACUAAUAACCUAUACAGCAUACUUUGCAACUCUUUCACCCAAAUAAAGAGAAGAGACAUUAAUUGUAGCAUUCUUGCAGAGACAGAGACAAGACAUUUAACACACUAAAACCAAACAAGUCUGGAGCAACCAUAUCUGAACAUACUAUAAAGUAUUCACUAUUCAUCAUUAAACGUAUACAAAAAGAAACAUGAUCACCAGCGUUUU
This is a long non-coding RNA of Brassica napus (rape), 1702 nucleotides long. RefSeq lists it as uncharacterized. The record is from RefSeq and is a predicted model, not a curated record. The transcript has 2 exons. NCBI's taxonomy places the organism in Eukaryota, Viridiplantae, Streptophyta, Magnoliopsida, Brassicales, Brassicaceae.